UUUUAGGUGGCCGAGGAGAAGGUGUUAGACUUUUAAUCUAAUAACAGCUAGUUUAGCUUCUAGAAA
Molecule: transfer RNA, 66 nt
Filed under: Leptochiton nexus
Lineage: Eukaryota; Metazoa; Mollusca; Polyplacophora; Lepidopleurida; Lepidopleuridae
Description: tRNA-Lys
Rfam family: tRNA
About the family: Transfer RNA (tRNA) molecules are approximately 80 nucleotides in length.
Source: RNAcentral